Molecule: ribosomal RNA, 465 nt
Filed under: Vreelandella stevensii
Lineage: Bacteria; Pseudomonadati; Pseudomonadota; Gammaproteobacteria; Oceanospirillales; Halomonadaceae
Description: partial 16S ribosomal RNA
Rfam family: Bacterial small subunit ribosomal RNA
Source: RNAcentral
CCUACGGGGUGCUGCAGUGGGGAAUAUUGGACAAUGGGCGAAAGCCUGAUCCAGCCAUGCCGCGUGUGUGAAGAAGGCCUUCGGGUUGUAAAGCACUUUCAGUGGGGAAGAAAGCCUUGGGGCUAAUACCCUCGAGGAAGGACAUCACCCACAGAAGAAGCACCGGCUAACUCCGUGCCAGCAGCCGCGGUAAUACGGAGGGUGUGAGCGUUAAUCGGAAUUACUGGGCGUAAAGCGCGCGUAGGCGGUCUGAUAAGCCGGUUGUGAAAGCCCCGGGCUCAACCUGGGAACGGCAUCCGGAACUGUCAGGCUAGAGUGCAGGAGAGGAAGGUAGAAUUCCCGGUGUAGCGGUGAAAUGCGUAGAGAUCGGGAGGAAUACCAGUGGCGAAGGCGGCCUUCUGGACUGACACUGACGCUGAGGUGCGAAAGCGUGGGUAGCAAACAGGAUUAGAUACCCUAGUAGUC